Molecule: ribosomal RNA, 443 nt
Filed under: Selenomonas sp. oral taxon 149
Lineage: Bacteria; Bacillati; Bacillota; Negativicutes; Selenomonadales; Selenomonadaceae
Description: bacterial SSU rRNA
Rfam family: Bacterial small subunit ribosomal RNA
Source: RNAcentral
GACGAACGCUGGCGGCGUGCUUAACACAUGCAAGUCGAACGGAGCGAAUGAAAGCUUGCUUUUAUGAGCUUAGUGGCAAACGGGUGAGUAACACGUAGACAACCUGCCGACAGGAUGGGGACAACAUUCCGAAAGGAAUGCUAAUACCGAAUGAAGUCGAGGGAAGGCAUCUUCCUUCGAUGAAAGAUGGCCUCUAUUUAUAAGCUAUCACUUGUCGAUGGGUCUGCGUCUGAUUAGCUAGUUGGUGAGGUAACGGCUCACCAAGGCGACGAUCAGUAGCCGGUCUGAGAGGAUGAACGGCCACAUUGGGACUGAGACACGGCCCAGACUCCUACGGGAGGCAGCAGUGGGGAAUCUUCCGCAAUGGGCGCAAGCCUGACGGAGCAACGCCGCGUGAGUGAAGAAGGUCUUCGGAUUGUAAAGCUCUGUUGACGGGGACGAAC